CAGCAGCCCGAGUGGUGGUCGUUUUUAUUGGGCCUAAAGCGUCCGUAGCCGGUCUAGUAAAUCCUUGGAUAAAUCGUACAGCUUAACUGUACGGCUCCCGGGGAGACUGCUAGACUUGGGACUGGGAGAGGUCGGAGGUACUCCAGGGGUAGGGUGAAAUCUUGUAAUCCUUGGGGGACCACCAGUGGCGAAGGCGUCCGACUAGAACGGGUCCGACGGUAAGGGACGAAGCCCUGGGGCGCGAACCGGAUUAGAUACCCGAGUAGUCC
RNAcentral lists this ribosomal RNA (269 nucleotides) under uncultured archaeon. RNAcentral describes it as "partial 16S ribosomal RNA". It matches the Rfam family "Archaeal small subunit ribosomal RNA", at positions 477 to 747 of the family's 1478-position model. The record is from RNAcentral.